Triticum aestivum (bread wheat) is the source of this 92-nucleotide non-coding RNA. NCBI's taxonomy places the organism in Eukaryota, Viridiplantae, Streptophyta, Magnoliopsida, Poales, Poaceae. The record is from Rfam.
AAAACUAGCCAGUCUUUUGGAUAUGAAACCCAUUUGGGCAAGAGUAGUACUAGGAUGGGUGACCUCCUGGGAAGUCCUCGUGAAAGGGUUUC